Molecule: ribosomal RNA, 431 nt
Filed under: uncultured bacterium
Lineage: Bacteria
Also listed under: 1 other name
Description: bacterial SSU rRNA
Rfam family: Bacterial small subunit ribosomal RNA
Source: RNAcentral
GUGGGGAAUAUUGCACAAUGGGCGAAAGCCUGAUGCAGCGACGCCGCGUGAGGGAUGACGGCCUUCGGGUUGUAAACCUCUUUCACCAGGGACGAAGCGUGAGUGACGGUACCUGGAGAAGAAGCACCGGCCAACUACGUGCCAGCAGCCGCGGUAAUACGUAGGGUGCGAGCGUUGUCCGGAAUUACUGGGCGUAAAGAGCUCGUAGGUGGUUUGUCGCGUCGUCUGUGGAAUCCCGCAGCUCAACUGCGGGCGUGCAGGCGAUACGGGCAUAACUUGAGUACUGCAGGGGAGACUGGAAUUCCUGGUGUAGCGGUGAAAUGCGCAGAUAUCAGGAGGAACACCGGUGGCGAAGGCGGGUCUCUGGGCAGUAACUGACGCUGAGGAGCGAAAGCGUGGGUAGCGAACAGGAUUAGAAACCCGAGUAGUCC